GUUUUGCCAAAUACAGCUAAGCUAGUAUUUCAAAAAAUCAAACUUUUUGUAAAAAGUUAAUUUAUAAAUAUUUUUUUAUAAAUAUAUAAUUUAUAAAAGGAUCCGGCAAAUGUUUAAUGAAACAAAAACACCUACAUUGUAUAUGAUAUUAUUAUUUCCGUCUUAAUAUUGCAAGCGAUGCAUCUAAAGUCAUUUCAGUUAAUAUGGUUUACAUGUAUGAGAAGAAGUUCCUUAAGUACUAACCUCUUUUAAUGCUUGUUAUAAACAUCACUAGAACUCAAACUUAGGCCGUCUUUAUAAGCAACUUACGUGAUCUGAUCAUCAGUAAAAUAUGACGUUAUAAUUUCAAUCUUAAAUCAUUUUUGUAGUAUAUAAACUUUUAUUAUUA
Molecule: long non-coding RNA, 388 nt
Filed under: Mytilus galloprovincialis (Mediterranean mussel)
Lineage: Eukaryota; Metazoa; Mollusca; Bivalvia; Mytilida; Mytilidae
Source: RNAcentral